Molecule: long non-coding RNA, 3442 nt
Organism: Sphaerodactylus townsendi
Lineage: Eukaryota; Metazoa; Chordata; Lepidosauria; Squamata; Sphaerodactylidae
Exons: 3
Source: RefSeq, a predicted model, not a curated record
CAAAAUCAGUCCAGACCAUCUACCUUUAAAAACGACAGCUCCGAGCCUGGCCUCAGUUCUUCGGCUACCCUAAUGCACACGCGCACACCCAAAGCCAGCAACAUUUUGGGAUUCUGUGCAGCUCCAUUCCCCGCUGACUCGGAAAGAGGCCUUUCUCUGAGUUCAACGGGACUUACUUCCAGGAGAAGCUACCACCACCAUCUGCCCCUUCCCUUCCUCUGACUGGUGACUACUGUGCUGUGUUUGCUUGGGCACAUGGGCCACUGUUGCUGCCUUCUGAGUAUCAGAGAGAGAAGAAGGGAGAGAGACAAGCCAUCCUUUCCACCUGUGGAAAGGGGAAGAAGGGGUGAGGUGAAGUAUGGCUACUGCCACUUCCUUGUGGGAGGAGAGGUUGCAAGAGAAGCUGCUGCCCUGUUGUGACCUCUUCACACGGACCUGGACCGUUGGCACCUACUCAACAACACAACCCCAAUGCCUGCCCUAGUCGGUAUAUACUGACAGCCGUACUGAUGUGUGGCUCUCAUGUAAUAGAAAUCCCCUUCCUCUGACUUUGUCCCUCCAAGCCAUCAUUUCUAGGCACAGGAGACAGCCAUUCCAGUAAGCAGCAUUUCCCAGCAUGCGGAUCCUAACCUCCAAGUGCUGCACAACAUGUGGCACUGAAUCCCCGGCCUUUGCAAUUUUAUUCUUGUGCAUGCUCUGUUCUUUGGGGGGAAGGGGGGAUCUCUAUACCAAGGAAAUGUAGACUUAUGAGUCACCAUACCCAAAAGGGCUGGAAACCACUACCAUCAAGCAAUACUUAACAGACUCAGAAACUGUUGUCAACAGUGAUGCUGCCAAGGGGAAAUGGCAGGGCUCAAUAGGAACUGGACAGGCAAGCGCCAGCUGCUAUGAAAACUGAGAGGGUAAAAAAAAAAAGCAAGCUUACUCAGGAGCAAAUUAUCAUGAAAUUAACACAGUUUCAGCCAAGGGAAGCACGUUUUAGCCCUGGGUUUUCCUUUGCAACUAUGAACAGUGUCAUUUUCAGUGUAUGGUGUUGAAAAGAUUUUGGUGUGCACGUGCAACUUUUUUUUUUUAAUGAUGAGUUUUCUAAUAAAAAACAAUUUGGGGGCUGGGCGUAAGAGCUACUUCAUGGGAAACUUGAAGAAAAGAAUAUGUGUGCAGUAAGUGGAAGUUUCUUUUUUAAGCAGUUACCAUGACAACUCCCCUGUCAGUGCUUGGCCACAGGCAACAGACCACACAGGAGCUAAAGCAGAAGUCCUGACAGAAUUGGGACCAAAGCCACAUGGAGUACAGGGACAGAUCCACUGGAAGUUCAUAGUAGGGGAAGGAUCAGAAUCAAAACCUUGGUCUAAGAAGAGAGCUGUCAUGAUCCUUUCUAACAAGCCCAGUGAUUUAGACUCAGAGUCUUCAGAAGAAGCAGAGGAACCAAGGCCAGAGGUGGAGACGGACCAAGGGGGGUUGGAAAGGGCCAGCAUUUAAGAUACCUGCUGACCAUGGUCUAGAAGCACCAAAGGCCUGAGCCUUCCUGAGCCUGCAAGGGGGGCUUUGCUACAGCCCCUGAAAUAGCCGUCAGACCUCUGCUGGGCAAGAUGCAAACCUGGGCCCAUAGCCUCUCAGAACCGUUCUAACUUUGCAGGAGCAGCAGCAGCAGAAGACCCAGACUGAGAGGGCAGAAAGAAGGUAAAGCACCAGGCCACCUGCUUGCAACUCCUCUGUGAAUAUAGAGCAGUACUCUAUAAAACUUCUUUGCAUGAUGCUGACCAGAACACAGCACAGCAACUGGAGCUCUAGCACCUGCUAGCAGUGCUAUUAAACCAAUUACCACUUAAGCUGGCUAGGACUGUCUUGUAGAAUCAACUGCUCCAAGCCUAGCAUCCUUGCAAAGGCAACCUGACUGCAGGAAGCAAAAUAGAAGAUUAAUCGGAGGCUAGGCAAAUGGAUCAGAAGGGAAGGAAAGAGGGGGUGAGCCACUCAGGUGGAGGCCUGCCUGCUGAUCAGGCAAAACCCCUGAGGUUAAAGGCUGACAUGGUAUCUUUUGAGGGGAGGUGGCACAAUGGGACUCCAUCCUAUUGCAGAAGUGAGCAGAGCAAGGCUACUGUUUCUCUGCUGUUCUUUAAGUUUGCGGGCUGCUCAGCCAGGAGGGAGAGGGCAGGCUCUUCCUGAUUACUUUUUGCUUAUUUGUCCAAGGAAAGGAUAAGUAGCAACCACGCAUGUUGCCUACUUUUUCCUGUGGCUGUUGUGCUCUGUCAGCUGGGUGAAUCAACAGUAUGCAGUGGCAGGCUGCUGGACCUCUGGCUUCCAUCCAUCGACUCAUCUACACCUUCCAUCCAUCGACUCAUCUAUCGAUCUAUUGAUCUAUCUAUUUAUCCCAAUUCUUAUCCUGCUGUUCCUCCAUAGAGCUUCAGGCAACAUAUACAAUUUUAUUCAUACAACUACCCUGUGAGGUGGCUGACAGCAUGCGGCUGGCAAUGGUUGAUUCUGCAUAGCAUAAUAACAGGUUACAUCCACUAUUUUUAAAUUUAGAUCUAUUUUAUUCCCUUUUAUUUUUGCCCUUUGCAUGGGUACCCGUUUUCCGUGAAGGAAACAAUCUGUUUUCUUUCUCCUCCUUCACAACCUGCUAUUUUGUUUACAAUGCAAAUGCGCAGGCGCAAGCAUCCCAUUUUUUCUGCAUUCUGAUUGGCUGCUCCAUCACCACAGUCCCCCUUCCACCUGCUACCACCCUCCUCAGAAUGAAACUGACAUGACGUAAGGCAGGAGAUCAGGUGGUGGGGCAGGAAAAAUAAAGCCGUUGAGCUCUUGUGCCAUUCCCACGGAAGCGGGUUCAACCCAGGAUUUUUCAAAAAGAUAGUGAUUUUGGUGGUUUAAAAAAAAACCGAGUUGAGGGAAAUAUACGGGUCAAUCCUGAUUUGGGGAAGGGACCCACGUGAAGUUCUUCCACAAACCAGGAUAUUUCCCUUUGUCAACCUGUUAUAUUUCUACCGAGAAGAAUUGACCAAUGAUAUAAAAAGAGAGUCAUCCAGUAUUUCACUGUUUCCAUCAGGGAGAGUACCUGUUGAAAUUACCUUCUCCUUCAAGAAUACGAAGCUGAUAAUCAUACAGAUGAUUUAUAAUGUCUGUACCAGAUUCAUUAACAAAAUUUCUUCCUCCUCCAACAUCAUGCCAUGCUUUGAGAGGAAGAGGAGUGGAUAGGCAAGGUCACAGAUAAUUACAACACAGAUCUGUCUCACACAAACAGAUUUUGUGAAAAGUGCUGAAUACUGCAAUAAGGUAAAACCGGAAGACACUGUGAGGACAACCAUUUUAUUUUAUGUUUAGGUAACUGAAUACAAAAGGAUAGGAAGUAGACCUUUAUUUUGGAAUUUAUAUAUAUAUUAGAAUUUGCUAUUUUUCUUUUUGUUAAAGUUUCAUAUAUAUGUUAAUUAUCAUGGUCUUUUUCUUUAUU